AUUCAGUGGCUGCUAUUACGGCUGUUGUUUCUAACAUAUUUCUCCACGAUGAGUAAUAGCUGAAGAAUGAAUAAUAAACCUUAUUCAUUCUCUUUGUUUCAAAUGUCUACUUAAAAUGUUAGCAGGGUAUCAUGCAACAAGUAUAAGGAGCUGUUCUUUUUCCUCAUAUCCAUACCCAAUCCCCUGCCACCUUGGUUUUGUGUUCUCUCUGAACAUCUGCAUUGUGACUUUGCUUUUCUCCCUCUCACUGGAGUUUAGGGCAUAUACCUAAGUAGAAUUUUUAAGGUUAAGGUAUUAUUUCACAUUUUUCUUAUUUCACAUAUUUUUUCUUAAGGAGGGAAGGUCUUUGAAAAUAAACUAGAAACCAUUCUGGAAAACAUGAACUACAAACUUGAAAAUGAAGAAAUGAAAGAUCUACGGAACCAUUUGAAAAUUGAUGACAAUGGAAAGAUUUUAUUAAAUUCUGUGAUCAGUGCAGCCAAUUUAUUUUCUGGUGAUAAGAUAAAUGCCAGUGACAUACAACUUUAUCUAGGAAAUGUAGGUAUUGAAUUUACAAAUAAAGAAAACCAGGAUCUACUGGACAUAGUGCCAUUGGAUGGUAAGCAUUUCAGACCUUGCAUUCAAUUUCAGAGAAUCUUGAAUUUAUGA
This 648-nucleotide long non-coding RNA is filed under the name Papio anubis (olive baboon). Its description in RNAcentral is "lncRNA (ENSPANG00000037898.1)". The record is from RNAcentral. Lineage: Eukaryota; Metazoa; Chordata; Mammalia; Primates; Cercopithecidae.